Molecule: ribosomal RNA, 253 nt
Filed under: uncultured bacterium
Lineage: Bacteria
Description: partial 16S ribosomal RNA
Rfam family: Bacterial small subunit ribosomal RNA
Source: RNAcentral
UACGUAGGGGGCAAGCGUUAUCCGGAUUUACUGGGUGUAAAGGGGGCGCAGACGGCGAUGCAAGCCAGGAGUGAAAGCCCGGGGCCCAACCCCGGGACUGCUCUUGGAACUGCGUGGCUGGAGUGCAGGAGGGGCAGGCGGAAUUCCUAGUGUAGCGGUGAAAUGCGUAGAUAUUAGGAGGAACACCAGUGGCGAAGGCGGCCUACUGGACGGUGACUGACGCUGAGGCUCGAAAGCGUGGGGAGCAAACAGG